Molecule: ribosomal RNA, 419 nt
Filed under: Plantago major (common plantain)
Lineage: Eukaryota; Viridiplantae; Streptophyta; Magnoliopsida; Lamiales; Plantaginaceae
Description: eukaryotic LSU rRNA
Rfam family: Eukaryotic large subunit ribosomal RNA (bases 284-419)
Source: RNAcentral
UGCAGAAUCCCGUGAACCAUCGAGUCUUUGAACGCAAGUUGCGCCCGACGCCUUCGGGCUGAGGGCACGCCUGCCUGGGCGUCACGCAUCGCGUCGCCCCCUACACCAAUUUGGUGCGGGGGCGGAUAAUGGCAUCCCGUUAGCUCGGUUUGCCCAAAAAGGAUCCCUCAUCGACGGAUGUCACAACCAGUGGUGGUUGAAAGAUCAUUGGUGCCGUUGUGCUUCACUCCGUCGCAUGCUUGGGCAUCGUUACAAAACAAUGGUGCUAGCGCGCCUUCGACCGCGACCCCAGGUCAGACGGGACUACCCGCUGAGUUUAAGCAUAUCAAUAAGCGGUGGAGAAGAAACUUACAAGGAUUCCCCUAGUAACGGCGAGCGAACCGGGAAUAGCCCAACUUGAGAAUCGGGCGGCCACGCCG